Canis lupus familiaris (dog) is the source of this 1058-nucleotide long non-coding RNA. RefSeq lists it as uncharacterized. The record is from RefSeq and is a predicted model, not a curated record. The transcript is spliced from 4 exons. Lineage: Eukaryota; Metazoa; Chordata; Mammalia; Carnivora; Canidae.
CAGGGUGCUGCUGACCAUUGUAACCUCCUUAAAAUUGUAUGGCAACAGAUGGGAUUCCAGCUUUUACUCUCCUGCUUGAGAAUGCCAAGCACUUUGAUUUCCCAUGAGAUGCUUUUGGAAACUACUUUAUUAUCCAGAUCUUGUAAUCUGUAAUUUUCUACGUUCUUAGGUCCUGCUCAAAAAAGGUUUCAACUGCUUAACCAAGUACAGCUCAUUCUUCCACCUUCUUACUCUGCAACCAGAUCAAGGGCCCCACACUGCAGCAUAUAAAAUGAUCAAAUCCUGAGAGAGAAAAGAAGCAAAGUAGCAAAUACAUCAGCAACAAUUCACUACCAGGAACACAGAAAAUCCCAGAGGGAGAAAGCAGUGUCUCUGAAUCAUGGAUGGGCUUGGAAAGUUCGGAAAGAUUCGAGUGCUUCCCUUCCAGAAAGACAAUUCUGGAUCAACUCCCUAGAGGAGGAAGCCUGUGGUUUGUAAUUGGUGUUCUAGCUCGACUCCCUCCCCUGGGACUGCAAUCACGCUCUCUACCUGCUGACACAAAGUGAGGGUGGAGCAGCUAGAGGCAACCACCCGCUCCUCUCCCCAGCCCGCCCCUCCUCCUGGCUGGCUAAGGCGAGGGCUUGAGUGCACGCACACUUACAGAGCCAGACACGUUCUUUUCCUCUCCGCUCUCUCAGCUCCCCUACUCCCUCUAUUGAGCCACAGUCAAACUGCAUCCAAUUCAAUGCUCAAUCAUUUUCUCUGGGUAAGCAAGCUGUUUGAUACAUGUCAAACAGGUAUCUAGGCAGUAGAACACACCCAAGAGAACAUAAACGGUGGUAUAAUGAAAUAAAGGGAAUGAAAUAAUAAAAACCCAGAACAUGAAAGAGUGGAUUCAAGAUUUUGCAAAUAUGAGUUCAGAGGGAUUUCUGCUCUUUUUGGAUUUUAGCGUCUAUGAAUGGCACAAAGCUAGAAUAAAGUGAUCCAGUGCUAUAGUACUUAUUGCUGUCUCAUGUAUGCUACCCCGGCAAGAACCCUGUCCAUUUUGUACAUAGUUUUUCUUCAGCUUUUACUUAUUU